Molecule: long non-coding RNA, 281 nt
Filed under: Struthio camelus australis
Lineage: Eukaryota; Metazoa; Chordata; Aves; Struthioniformes; Struthionidae
Description: lncRNA (ENSSCUG00000002473.1)
Source: RNAcentral
AAAUAAGAUAUAUUAAGACUCUUCAGCCAGAAAAAGAAGUGACUGGUGUGGGAUAUGCUAGAGAUGAAAGUAGAGAGAUCUGCAGUACUGAUGAAAAUUCACUAAACAAUUUGCUAGGAAUUGUGAACACUAGGUUAAAUAGGAACCACAAUAAAAGGCAUUUAGCUUUGAAAUUGUCCUUGGUUUCCACAGUUCAAGGUCUAAGCGAAGGAGACGAUAAAAAAUUUCACAGAUAUAACAAAAGUAUUGAUUUUCUCAUCAACUAGUUGUAUAUGUCCUGG